GCCCCGAUAGCUCAGCUGGAUAGAGCGAUCGCCUCCUAAGCGAUAGGUCGCAGGUUCGAAUCCUGCUCGGGGCGCCA
This 77-nucleotide transfer RNA is filed under the name Spiribacter roseus. Its description in RNAcentral is "tRNA-Arg". It matches the Rfam family "tRNA". From Rfam's summary of the family: Transfer RNA (tRNA) molecules are approximately 80 nucleotides in length. Their secondary structure includes four short double-helical elements and three loops (D, anti-codon, and T loops). Further hydrogen bonds mediate the characteristic L-shaped molecular structure. tRNAs have two regions of fundamental functional importance: the anti-codon, which is responsible for specific mRNA codon recognition, and the 3' end, to which the tRNAs corresponding amino acid is attached (by aminoacyl-tRNA synthetases). tRNAs cope with the degeneracy of the genetic code in two manners: having more than one tRNA (with a specific anti-codon) for a particular amino acid; and 'wobble' base-pairing, i.e. permitting non-standard base-pairing at the 3rd anti-codon position. RNAcentral also lists the same sequence under 1 other name. Lineage: Bacteria; Pseudomonadati; Pseudomonadota; Gammaproteobacteria; Chromatiales; Ectothiorhodospiraceae. The record is from RNAcentral.